UAGAAGACUUUCAGGGAUCAUUUCUAUAGUUUGUUCCUAGAGAAGGUUCUCUGAAUGUGUAGAGCACUGGAAGCCACGAGGAGGAGGUGCAGCAUCCUCUCCUGAGUGUGAAGCUGUCUCUUGGUGUUGCUUUGUCACAACUGCCAUUUGCCAUUGAUGAUUGUUCUUCUCCCUUGGGGAGAGUAAGCGGAAGAGGAUGCAGUCUGAAUGGA
Molecule: small nucleolar RNA, 212 nt
Filed under: Dasypus novemcinctus (nine-banded armadillo)
Lineage: Eukaryota; Metazoa; Chordata; Mammalia; Cingulata; Dasypodidae
Description: Small nucleolar RNA U3 (ENSDNOG00000028549.2)
Rfam family: Small nucleolar RNA U3
About the family: Small nucleolar RNAs (snoRNAs) are involved in the processing and modification of rRNA in the nucleolus. There are two main classes of snoRNAs: the box C/D class, and the box H/ACA class. U3 snoRNA is a member of the box C/D class.
Source: RNAcentral